This 213-nucleotide unclassified non-coding RNA is filed under the name plant metagenome. Its description in RNAcentral is "partial contains small subunit ribosomal RNA, internal transcribed spacer 1, and 5.8S ribosomal RNA". The record is from RNAcentral.
UCUCCGUAGGUGAACCUGCGGAAGGAUCAUUCAUAAUAAGUGUUUUAUGGCACUUUUUUAAAUCCAUAUCCACCUUGUGUGCAAUGUCAGGGUUGAUUUUUCUCUCGAGAGGAUCAACCCCAAAUAUCAACUAUAUCUCAACUCCUUGUCUGAAAAAUAUUAUGAAUAAAACAAUUCAAAAUACAACUUUCAACAACGGAUCUCUUGGCUCUC